RNAcentral lists this transfer RNA (58 nucleotides) under Salmo salar (Atlantic salmon). It matches the Rfam family "tRNA", at positions 8 to 63 of the family's 71-position model. From Rfam's summary of the family: Transfer RNA (tRNA) molecules are approximately 80 nucleotides in length. The record is from Rfam by way of RNAcentral. Lineage: Eukaryota; Metazoa; Chordata; Actinopteri; Salmoniformes; Salmonidae.
UGGCUCAGUUGGUAGAGCAAGGCACUUCCAAUGCCAGGGUUAUGGGUUCGAUUCCCAU